Long non-coding RNA from Pimephales promelas (fathead minnow), 882 nucleotides. RefSeq lists it as uncharacterized. The record is from RefSeq and is a predicted model, not a curated record. NCBI's taxonomy places the organism in Eukaryota, Metazoa, Chordata, Actinopteri, Cypriniformes, Leuciscidae.
GCAGUAUAUGGGCGCCCCCUAGCGUUUGGAUUAUUUCUGCCUGAAUCGCUCUUUAAGGUGGAAGAGCCAUCUUAAAUGGAAACUACAUCGGUCGCUCGCCACUCACAUACACCAGAGUAACAUGCGCCUAUUUUAAUCUGAUUAAUGCUUUUGAGAUUUCCUUCUAAUUGACUUGGACGUUGCAGAGCUGCGUUUGUAAGUCUCUACCGCACAUUUUCUCCACAGUGUUGUUCACGCACGGGAGUAUCGCAGCGUUUCGGGUAAUUUUGUCCAGUUUAUUGAAACGAUCAAAAGUGAGCACCGUGCCUCAUCUCCGACCAUUCAAAAGCCAGUAUGUGAACAAGACAGCCGAAAGCAAUAGGCUACCGCAGAAGCAAAUCAUAGCGUACCGAUGCAAAGUGGAUUUUAUCCCAAGCUCAAGGUAGAAUACGGCGUUCUGGUAGACUAGCUGUGCAUUGUCUCAGGCCUCCGCAGGGGCAGAGGACACGGCCACUGUGAACCGAAGAAACCGAAGAAUGCCGAGUGGUGACAUCAACACCAAGUGCAUGAUGGGAGGAGGAAAUUCACGCAAAGAUUCCACAAUGACAAAGCAGGGAAGGUAGGCCUUAAUGAAUGUGUUCGAGCAACUGGUGCAACUAACCUCUAUUCUUUUCUAGGCAAAAGGAUCAUUGGUCAGCUGACAACCAACUGCUCCAAAUCAACUGUACGUAUUGUAAUUCUGCACAAACGAUGAUGAUGCAUGAUUAAAUAAUGCAACCGAACAAGAAGCAGCAUUGUGUUCCUUUAAAGAAUGAUGCAAUGAAAAAAACGUUGAUGACAUUAGUAAAAAUGUUUAAUUAUCAACUGUAUCAACAAAAGCUCAAGAAAAUAAACAUGGGCCCU